This 301-nucleotide ribosomal RNA is filed under the name uncultured bacterium. RNAcentral's name for it is "partial 16S ribosomal RNA". It matches the Rfam family "Bacterial small subunit ribosomal RNA", at positions 509 to 808 of the family's 1533-position model. The record is from RNAcentral.
CAGCCGCCGCGGUAAUACGUAGGUCCCGAGCGUUGUCCGGAUUUAUUGGGCGUAAAGCGAGCGCAGGCGGUUAGAUAAGUCUGAAGUUAAAGGCUGUGGCUUAACCAUAGUACGCUUUGGAAACUGUUUAACUUGAGUGCAGAAGGGGAGAGUGGAAUUCCAUGUGUAGCGGUGAAAUGCGUAGAUAUAUGGAGGAACACCGGUGGCGAAGGCGACUCUCUGGUCUGUAACUGACGCUGAGGAGCGAAAGCGUGGGGAGCGAACAGGAUUAGAUACCCCCGUAGUCCCUGUCUCUUAUACC